UUGUCGUCAGCUCGUGUCGUGAGAUGUUGGUUAAGUCCGCAACGAGCGCAACCCUUGUCUUUAGUUACCAUCAUUAAGUUGGGGACUCUAGAGAGACUGCCGGUGAUAAACCGGAGGAAGGUGGGGAUGACGUCAAAUCAUCAUGCCCCUUAUGGCCUGGGCUACAAACGUAAUACAAUGGCGUAUACAAAGGGAUGCGAAAGGGCGACCUGGAGCAAAACUCACAAAGUACGUCUCAGUUCAGAUUGGAGUCUGCAACUCGACUCCAUGAAGGCGGAAUCGCUAGUAAUCGCGGAUCAGCAUGCCGCGGUGAAUACGUUCUCGGGGUUU
Molecule: ribosomal RNA, 330 nt
Filed under: uncultured Erysipelothrix sp.
Lineage: Bacteria; Bacillati; Bacillota; Erysipelotrichia; Erysipelotrichales; Erysipelotrichaceae
Description: bacterial SSU rRNA
Rfam family: Bacterial small subunit ribosomal RNA
Source: RNAcentral